AAUGCUUUCCAGCUACAAUUAGUUCWGAAUACUGGCUGUGAUUUUUGAAGUGACUUUGAGAAUUUCUUGGAUUUGUUGCCUGCUAAUUGGAGGGAUAACCUGUUAUCCUCCACCUAAAGGUAAUUAUAGCUAUAUUCCCCAAAAUAAAUUAAAAGGAACUGGCCACAAUGAAGCGGAAGCAACUGGCUCCUGUGCCUCUGCAGGUGAAGCUACCGGUUCCCGUGCCUCAGAAGCAGCCACCCACAAUGCCUCAGCAAGCGCCACUACUGGCCCAAAUACCUUGGGUGAAGCAACCGUCCACAGUGCCGCGGAACRGACCACCUAUAAUGCCUCGGCAGCGGAAACAGCCACCCAUAAUGCCUCGGCAAGUGUGGCAACUGGCCCAAAUAGCUUAGGUGAAGCAACUGGCCACAAUGCUUCAUCGAGUGCCACGACUUGCCCAAAUACCUUAGGUGAAGCAACCAGCUCCCGUGCCUCGGCAGCGGAAGCA
Molecule: long non-coding RNA, 490 nt
Organism: Salvelinus sp. IW2-2015
Lineage: Eukaryota; Metazoa; Chordata; Actinopteri; Salmoniformes; Salmonidae
Source: RefSeq, a predicted model, not a curated record